ACUCCUACGGGAGGCAGCAGUGGGGAAUAUUGCACAAUGGGCGCAAGCCUGAUGCAGCCAUGCCGCGUGUGUGAAGAAGGCCUUCGGGUUGUAAAGCACUUUCAGUCGUGAGGAAGGUAGUGUAGUACUAAUGCAUGCUGCAUUAUUUUGACGUUAGCGACAGAAGAAGCACCGGCUAACUCCGUGCCAGCAGCCGCGGUAAUACGGAGGGUGCGAGCGUUAAUCGGAAUUACUGGGCGUAAAGCGCAUGCAGGUGGUUUGUUAAGUCAGAUGUGAAAGCCCGGGGCUCAACCUCGGAAUUGCAUUUGAAACUGGCAGACUAGAGUACUGUAGAGGGGGGUAGAAUUUCAGGUGUAGCGGUGAAAUGCGUAGAGAUCUGAAGGAAUACCGGUGGCGAAGGCGGCCCCCUGGACAGAUACUGACACUCAGAUGCGAAAGCGUGGGGAGCAAACAGGAUUAGAUACCCUGGUAGGAUAGCGU
RNAcentral lists this ribosomal RNA (480 nucleotides) under uncultured bacterium. Its description in RNAcentral is "bacterial SSU rRNA". It matches the Rfam family "Bacterial small subunit ribosomal RNA", at positions 335 to 800 of the family's 1533-position model. The record is from RNAcentral.